UGCGUUCGUCUAUUGAUUCGCGCUGCGCCAUCGCGCAAUACCAAUCAUGUCCAAGCACAUCAUCAUAGCAGUUACAUGUCCUCACUCGUAGUAAAUGGUCUUUCUUGGAUUUGUUGCUUGAGGAUGAUAAUCUAGUCUUUGGAGGUAUUGACGUAGCAAUGCCGAAGUAGGACGUGAUUCAAAUUUCCGUAUUUUCUUCUUCUUGUGUAUUGAGUUCGGUGUUGCGUAGAUUAAACACCGCGGAGUUUAAUUACGUAAGUUGAGGACAUGUAAUGAAGGGGUUGGUCUAUUGAGGUUUAGUCGGGGUUUUUGCAAGGUCAGGGUGCAAUGGUGAUCCUGCAAGAGAAUUUCGGAGCGGACUGGAGACUCAGACAUUGCUACAUUCCAUAAAGACAUCUGUGGGCGUAUGCGAGGAGUGAAUGCCAUCGAGGGAGCAGGUACUUGGAUGCGAUGGCGCACAUCAUGCGACUCCUGUGCCGAGGCUACUUCAUCGAGCAACAUCAUCUUGUGUCAGCAUCCUCUUGGCAUUUAUCGCACGUCUCUUCACUAGCCUGUAGAUUUUAAACUGCUUAUCCAUGACCUUUCGGAAGUAGCCCAUGGCGUUAAUGCUGCAGUUAAGUCUUUAGCAAACAAGCACAUGCUUGCUGUUGCAGCGGGGCACAAACUUGAUCGGCAAGUUCAAUUCUGUGACUGAAGUGCAAAAUUUUGCUCCUGACAAAUUUUAAAAUUAAAACCAUCUGUCAAAUUCUAAGCGUCGGAACUUGUAAUUCAUGGUUUCACCACUGAGGAAGAAUUGUAUGCUGUGCAUAUUUCUUUCAAAAUCAGCUCGACUUUGUGCAGCACAUAGGGGAGGUGGUCUUGUUCAUAUUUGUAUGUGAUGAAAAGAAAUAUGACAUCGUGAUGAGACAAGACUAAUUUUUACGAGUUGCAUGUUUUUUCUAGUAAACGUUGUUGUUGGCUCUCAUAACGUAGGAUCCUUAUUCAUAACAUCUCUUGAACCUAAUACUUAUACAUCUCUUGAACUUGGGCUUGACAGAAUAGCUCUCUUGAUACUCUAGUUGUGAUGAUCGAGCGAGUAGAGAGGCCUGUCAUCUGUCGUCUCGCUAUGACCUUCGUCCUGAAUGUGCAGAAUCACAUUGUUCGAGUGACUUUGUUUACACAACGCCAUCAGCAGGUGCAGAUUUUGCUGAAGUUUUGGACCAAAGUGUCCAUGACACUAAAACUUCAUCAAACUCUUGGUUCAAAAUAAUCAGUGGUGCUCUCUUUUGGUAUAAUCAGGAGGAUGUGAAAGGCAGUAAAGUUGUUUCAGCUACUCAGGAGCUGCAUGUGUCAAGAGAUGUUGAGCUUGUAAAGGAGAGCGAGGCAAGGGUAUACUACCCAACAUGUUAACCUACAAGCCCAUCAUGUCCUGUCUUGCUAAAAAGGUAAAAGUAGACCAGUUCCAUGAACUUGCGAAGUGGAUAGAAGAAGCCGUAGUGCCCUCUGAUGGGGUGUUUAUAUACUACGAAAUCCAACUUUAUUCUGUAGUCUCGUGAUUUUGAAAGAGCAAUAGCUCUUUAUCUCGCUUGCAUCAGAAGCGGCCUUCGUCUCUGGAUGGUGAGUACUUUUGAUGACUUUCUUGAAGGAGAUGUUUCAGGACGUGUUGCUUCUGCAUACUAAGGGUUUACAUUAUUCUUGAGGCAACGACUCCUUUUGGAUAAAUAUCUUCCGAUUCGUUUUCUGAUAACCUUUUUGGCGAUUAAAAGUACUCUGGUUUGUUUUUCGUGAGUAGGCUGAUUAUUGCAAAAUUUUGUGUAUUAAUGCGUAUAUUAUUUUGUAUAUUGGAUUCUCCUGUGAGAGAGAGGAAGACUGAUGGGGCAGGAAUGAUCUAAUGGCAUGGGGAACAUUAUAGCUCGGUUUAUGAUGGCGUUGGCAAAGGAUGAUGAAGUAUCUAUUAUGAUGGACUUGGUUGCUAAAGUUUUUCCCACCAUAAAUUCAAAUACCAAGUGAUUGCCGCUUUUCAGUGUCUCGGCAGGCAUUUGCAACCUGAUCCCGCCCUUCUAUCUUCCUCUUUAUUGAAAAAUUAAAGGCAUAAAUGAGCAACAGAUGGGGUUUUACUUGAACGUCUACAUUCAAGGAGUCAGUCAAGUCGACAAGGAUUUGCACUUUACGUGGGAAAUCGUAUGGGAAAUCUGCAAGAUUGUUACAAGCACUUAUUUGCACGAGGUUCGAGAGACCCAGUGGGCAUUUUGCUUCUUGCUGCGCUUCUAUCUAGGAAACUCAACUUUAUAUUGAUAAUUACCCAGUCAGAUUUCGCAAGGCCUUGAUCUCUUGGAUGAGAUGCAAGCAAGGGAGUUAGAGCCAUCUUCUUUUUCAUUGAGCCCGUUUAUUAGCGAAUUUGAAUGGAAGACAAUGAUUGAUGAGGAUGGAUACAUGUGAGGAGUUGUAGGAACUAUAUAUGUAUGGCGCUCUACGUCGGUAUGAAUAUUAAGAAGGCUUUUCAAGUUAAAUUACUAACACUUGCCUUGGUCUUGAUGGAAGGUAGGCAUUUGAAAUGAAAGCGGCAAUGUUUACACUGGAAGUGUAGCCAACUGUGGUCACAUACCACUGAUAAGUUCUGGCGUUAAGAUUGGGGAUCUGGAGAAGGCGUGUAGAUUAUUUCCUGAAAUGAAGAAGCUUGGUGUGGAUGUCAAUACUUAUUGCUAUAACCUCUUAUUCAGCGCUUUGUUGUACAGGAAUGGUUUGAUGGAGCACCAGCAGUUAUGAAGGAGAUGGAUGCAACCGGUGUGAAGCCAGAUGUUCAUGCGUACCGUCUUCUAAUAUUUGCAUGCUCCCUGAGCAAAGAUGAAGACCGAGCGGAUCAGAUGAUUAGGAACUUAGAAAAAAGUGGGAAACAGCAGGAAUUGAGGCCAAGAGUGCUGUUUUGCAUGGGAUUUCUGUAACUGGCCGCGUGGAGGAAGCCCUAGAUUUAUAUGCCGCUUUCAAAAUGGAACACGCAGCGCUUGGGAAAGUAGGGAACUUGAACAGGAUGUUUGAGGUGUUUGAAGAUGCUCGAGGAGCUGAUAAGUGGAAUUUCAUGAAUUUAAGGCAACAUGCUGAGCAUCUUAACGUCCGAUGUUUAAAUGCAGUUUUGGCAUGUAUCCAUCACAACCAGCUUGGUUUCUGCGCUAAAUCAGCUAGUUGAGGUGAUGGAAAGACGUGAAGCCAGCACAAGAACAGCAGCAAACAGGGCUAUGGGGGUACAAAUCCGUGAGCGGCCAUCGAAGCGGCAAAGAAGAAGCUUUGAGACAGGUGAUCAAGAUGAGUCACAGGAUAACAGUUCAAGUAGUAUGCUUAUCAUUUUUGGAGCAGAGAAUACAGAAACCACUUGUGGGAGUUUGGAGAGCGUUUGCUAUAGUCCUUUACUGUAUGGCAACUUGCUCGCUCUUCUUCUGUGUGUGUUCUGGGAGUCAACAUUGGCAGUUCAAAUUCAAUUGCACAUGUAGGAAAUUUUCAAUUCAUUCAAGUUGUCAUUUAUGAGCUCCUGAUAUUGUGCUGUUGAUAGAUUUUUUACCUUGGUCAACCUAUGCAUCACAAAUUCUUUUUCAGAAUUUAGAUGCAAACGCGGACAAUCGUCAAACUGCAGCAGAGUUUCUGAGCUGGAUAAUUUGCCCCUCAAGUUCGAAAGAGAGCUUACAUCGUUUCUCAAAUUCUUGAAGCUGCUGAAGAUGGGCAGUCUAUUUGUAAUGAAAGGAUGAUUGUAGGGAAUCGUUUAGAAAACCUGAUGGUACAAGAAAGUUACUGGACUUCAAGCAAUAUGGAAUGGAUUGCUUUCCAUUCACGCCUUGUAGCAUCUGUGAAUCACCCGUCAAUUGUGCCGGCGAUCAUGUCAGUGGGGGAACACGUCAUGUCUCAAAUUCGUCCAUAUUGCAAAAUCUGACAGCAUGGCUGUUGAGAUUGCGCAAUCUUGGAAGAGAGCUUCAAGUGCUGCACUUUGAAGGUGGAGAGCUUCAACAAUGUUACUCUUCUUACUCCUUAUGAGUUUCUGAAGGUUCUUAGACCCUGGGAAAGAAGGGCUUGCUUGGUCUCUAUCUGCUUUUGUCUGCCUCUAUCGUCUGCGCACUGAUCAUUCACAAAGGGAAUCUCCAGCCUGGUGGAGAAAUUCAAUCGUAUUUAUUCCGAGUCUGGAUUCUUGGUAUCGAACCAAGGUUGGCGGCGAAUUCAAUUUUGCAAUGUCGUGUGUGGCUGAUUCAUUCUAGGGGUCCCAACCUUCUUGUGUGAGUGUUCGAACUUGAAAGCUAUCUCAAUCCUCAUAAGCUGGGUAAUUUGCAACAUUGACAUCAACAUUUGCCCUUUUCCCUCGAUCUUAAUUGUUCUGAUAACACCUUUUUGGUGGGAGGCUUUUACAGGAUGUAAGAGCAGUAAAGCUGCCCUCUUCGUUCACCUUGAUACCAAAAUGUUUUUGCUAGUUUAACCCCUGGUCAAACCUCGUCAUCUUACAGCAUGUGAUUCUAGAUUUACUGUCAGACGGGUUGUUGCAGCUUGUGUUCAUCAUUGGGUGCAGUCAAGUGUGAUGAACUCAGAGAAUGUAGAAACUAUGUAUCAUGGGAGCAUUCAAAUGCUAGAGGAUUUACACACUGGUUACAGGCUUACAACCUGAGCUGGUGCAAUCCGUGGUGACACCGAUUUGGCUGAGGCGGUAGGAAAUUUAGAACUGUACAUAAAACAGUUGAAGACAUUUUAUAACAUAGUAGGAAUGGGAAGGAUACUUGGGUGCAUGUUCAGCAAGGUACAUAUUACCUUGCCUCUUUUGUGAAAUAAGGAAAAGUGACUAUUUCUUGCA
Molecule: non-coding RNA, 4801 nt
Organism: Physcomitrium patens
Lineage: Eukaryota; Viridiplantae; Streptophyta; Bryopsida; Funariales; Funariaceae
Source: RefSeq, a predicted model, not a curated record